Molecule: long non-coding RNA, 371 nt
Organism: Ailuropoda melanoleuca (giant panda)
Lineage: Eukaryota; Metazoa; Chordata; Mammalia; Carnivora; Ursidae
Exons: 3
Source: RefSeq, a predicted model, not a curated record
CUUACUGCCUCAUAUGAGCUCUUCAUCAACUCCUUCAGGAGGCAAAAAGAAUGAUAUCAUCAGAUCUGACGAGAAAUCAGUGCCCUAGAAUUAAUAUUGUACAGAAGAUUAUUUGAAAUACAGACACCCCUGAUUCCAUGCUGCUUAGACACCGACAACUCCCUCACAGGCCCUCAGACCUCCCAGAUGCCAGUGCAGCUUCGAGAACUUCUGCCUACCGCUACCUUCUCAGUGCUGACAAACCUCCAUUGAUAAGCAACACCUCCCCUCUACCUCUCCCACGACUUUCCCGCAAGAUGCCCGGGAAGAUCCAUCUACUGGCGAUGGUUACAGAGAGAGAGACAGCCAGCGAGAGAGGGAACACAAGCAGG